GAUGAAGAACGCAGCGAAAUGCGAAAAGUAAUGUGAAUUGCAGAAUUCAGUGAAUCAUCGAAUCUUUGAACGCACAUUGCGCCCGCCAGUAUUCCGGCGGGCAUGCCUGUCUGAGCGUCAUUUCAACCCUCACGCCCCUAGGGCGUGGUGUUGGGGAUCGGCCAAGGCCCGCAAGGGACGGCCGGCCCCUAAAUCUAGUGGCGGACCCAUCGUGGCCUCCCCUGCGAAGUAGUAAUAUAUUCCGCAUCGGAUAGCGAUGAGCCCCUGCCGUUAAACCCCCAACUCUUUCAAGGUUGACCUCAGAUCAGGUAGGAAUACCCGCUGAACUUAAGCAUAUCAAUAAGCGGAGGA
RNAcentral lists this unclassified non-coding RNA (351 nucleotides) under soil metagenome. Its description in RNAcentral is "partial contains 5.8S ribosomal RNA, internal transcribed spacer 2, and large subunit ribosomal RNA". The stretch from base 1 to 120 matches the Rfam family "5.8S ribosomal RNA", at positions 35 to 154 of the family's 154-position model. The record is from RNAcentral.